This 520-nucleotide ribosomal RNA is filed under the name uncultured Glomus. RNAcentral describes it as "SSU rRNA". It matches the Rfam family "Eukaryotic small subunit ribosomal RNA", at positions 569 to 1094 of the family's 1831-position model. Lineage: Eukaryota; Fungi; Glomeromycota; Glomeromycetes; Glomerales; Glomeraceae. The record is from RNAcentral.
AGCAGCCGCGGUAAUUCCAGCUCCAAUAGCGUAUAUUAAAGUUGUUGCAGUUAAAAAGCUCGUAGUUGAAUUUCGGGAUCAAUAUGUUGGUCGUGCCUUGGUACGUACUAAUUUAUUGGUUUCUUCCUUCUGACGAACCAUGAUGUCAUUAAUUUGGUGUUAUGGGGAAUCAGGACUGUUACUUUGAAAAAAUUAGAGUGUUUAAAGCAGGCUCACGCUUGAAUACAUUAGCAUGGAAUAAUGAAAUAGGACGUUUGAUUCUAUUUUGUUGGUUUCUAGGAUCGACGUAAUGAUUAAUAGGGAUAGUUGGGGGCAUUAGUAUUCAAUUGUCAGAGGUGAAAUUCUUGGAUUUAUUGAAGACUAACUACUGCGAAAGCAUUUGCCAAGGAUGUUUUCAUUAAUCAAGAACGAAAGUUAGGGAUCGAAGACGAUCAGAUACCGUCGUAGUCUUAACCAUAAACUAUGCCGACUAGGGAUCGGAUGAUGUUAAUUUUUAUGACUCAUUCGGCGUCCGUUACGG